AACGCACAUUGCGCCCCUUGGUAUUCCGAGGGGCAUGCCUGUUCGAGCGUCAUUACAACCCUCAAGCUUAGCUUGGUAUUGGACUCCGUCACUAAUCUGGCGAGUCUUAAAAUCAGUGGCGGUGUCGUUGAGGCCCUGAGCGUAGUAAAAAUCCUCGCUUUAGGGACCCGGCGGUUACUGGCCAUUAACCCCCGAUUUUCUAAGUUUGACCUCGGAUCAGGUAGGGAUACCCGCUGAACUUAA
Molecule: unclassified non-coding RNA, 243 nt
Filed under: uncultured fungus
Lineage: Eukaryota; Fungi
Description: sequence contains ITS2
Rfam family: 5.8S ribosomal RNA (bases 1-52)
Source: RNAcentral